Molecule: ribosomal RNA, 433 nt
Filed under: uncultured bacterium
Lineage: Bacteria
Description: partial 16S ribosomal RNA
Rfam family: Bacterial small subunit ribosomal RNA
Source: RNAcentral
AACGAACGCUGGCGGCAGGCCUAACACAUGCAAGUCGAGCGCGCCCUUCGGGGUGAGCGGCGGACGGGUGAGUAACGCGUGGGAACGUGCCCUUUUCUACGGAAUAGCCUCGGGAAACUGAGAGUAAUACCGUAUACGCCCUUUGGGGGAAAGAUUUAUCGGAAAAGGAUCGGCCCGCGUUGGAUUAGGUAGUUGGUGGGGUAAUGGCCUACCAAGCCGACGAUCCAUAGCUGGUUUGAGAGGAUGAUCAGCCACACUGGGACUGAGACACGGCCCAGACUCCUACGGGAGGCAGCAGUGGGGAAUCUUAGACAAUGGGGGCAACCCUGAUCUAGCCAUGCCGCGUGAGUGAUGAAGGCCGUAGGGUUGUAAAGCUCUUUCAGCUGGGAAGAUAAUGACGGUACCAGCAGAAGAAGCCCCGGCUAACUCCGUG